RNAcentral lists this ribosomal RNA (253 nucleotides) under uncultured bacterium. RNAcentral describes it as "partial 16S ribosomal RNA". It matches the Rfam family "Bacterial small subunit ribosomal RNA", at positions 524 to 776 of the family's 1533-position model. The record is from RNAcentral.
UACGUAGGGUGCGAGCGUUAAUCGGAAUUACUGGGCGUAAAGUGUGCGCAGGCGGCUGAGCAAGUCGAGUGUGAAAGCCCCGAGCUUAACUUGGGAAUUGCGCUCGAAACUACUUGGCUGGAGUGUGGCAGAGGAAGGUGGAAUUCCACGUGUAGCGGUGAAAUGCGUAGAGAUGUGGAGGAACACCAAUGGCGAAGGCAGCCUUCUGGGCCAACACUGACGCUCAUGCACGAAAGCGUGGGGAGCAAACAGG